GUUCAUUGUCUGCAAGAUAUCCAACCAGACGGUAAAGCAUUUGUCUUAAAUCAAUAAUUGAGAAGCAUCCAAUGUUAUUCAUUUCCACAAAUAAAGCCUUGGAGUUUAGUGGAUGUGUGACCUUUUAAAUUAUAUAACAUUUGUGACAAAUUGCACCAUUCUUAUAACACCAAGUUGUUGAUGCUUGUUAAAUUUAGUUGUGUUCAUUUCUUUUGUGUGUGUCAAAUCUGUUAUUUUAAUAGGUUCUAAACUUCAAACACAAAUUUGACCCGUUAAAAUUGACAAGUUACUCGACCCGCCCAUUUUACCCGUUGAGGACAAUAUUUACUUCAAUAAAUAAUCUAAUGAAAAAAAAACUGCAUACUAUAUUACUAAACAUUAACAUAUGAAUUCAUAAGUUCCCUUUGAUUCAGCAAUACAACUAUAAUCAUUUCAUUAAGCACUACAUCUACAUGCCACAUAAAUUGAGAAAGAAAUGAUAGAGAGUUAGGACUUUAGAUUAACGGGUUAAAAUAAAUUGAGAGAGAAACUGAUAGAGCUAGGACUUUAAUUUAACGGGUUAAAACGGGUUGAAAUGGGUUACUCGUGGGUAGACCUGAAGCAACUUGUUAUUUAACGAGUGCUUAACAGAUUGACACAAUAAAACACAUGAUCUGUUAAGUUACUCGACCCGCCCAUUUUACCCGUUGAGGACAAUAUUUACUUCAAUAAAUAAUCUAAUGAAAAAAAACUGCAUACUAUAUUACUAAACAUUAACAUAUGAAUUCAUAAGUUCCCUUUGAUUCAGCAAUACAACUAUAAUCAUUUCAUUAAGCACUACAUCUACAUGCCACAUAAAUUGAGAAAGAAAUGAUAGAGAGUUAGGACUUUAGAUUAACGGGUUAAAAUAAAUUGAGAGAGAAACUGAUAGAGCUAGGACUUUAAUUUAACGGGUUAAAACGGGUUGAAACGGGUUACUCGUGGGUAGACCUGAAGCAACUUGUUAUUUAACGAGUGCUUAACAGAUUGACACAAUAAAACACAUGAUCUGUUAAGUCUCAACUCGAAACUUUUUUUUUUUUCACGUCACUUCAUGACGAUUUAACGUGUUAUGCAUGAAAUUGCCAAGUCUGCUUAUAAUGAUUGACCAAUUUUUUAUUACUGUUAUAUUAUUUCAUAGUGUUACUAAUUCAUAUAUUACAAUAUCAGCGAACGCCAUAGUUAAAUUUCAUGGUUAAUGUUAACAUAGAUAAAUAAAUUGAUACCGCCAUAUUGUGAUGUCAACAUCAAUUAAAAAGGUUACUCAUUCUUGAUAACACCAAGUUGUGUAAUGGCACUUAACUUAGAAGUUAUUCAUUCUUUUCAACUUAUCCAUCUAUUCUCUUUACUACUAACUAUAAAGACCUUACAAUUAAAUUAUCCCCUUUUCUAUCAAUUGAAAAAAUAACAAAUUCCAACUUGGGAUACAAUUCAGAUGUGGGUUGAGUCAGUUGGUUAAAGUAACGUGCUUCUUCACACAAGUUUGAAUCCCUCGUGUCGAUGAAUUCAAUGUAAUUAUCUUAUUGUUUGUCCAAACAAAAACAAAAAAAUGAAGUGGACACAAAUUUUGAAUUAGAGUUGAGAGAAAAUAGAAUCACCUCUUGGGUAGAAUGAGUUAUGAACAACCAAAUUAACUAGGAAGACUAUAUGAACAUUGAAGCAAACAGUAUGAUCACGCUAAAGGUUCCCAGCAGGAGCUAGCUAGCAGCUGGGUUUAUAAAUCAUAUAACCAACAAAAUUCCUGAUUAAAUUCGCAUAUAUUGAUAUCUUGAAUAAAAAUCUUUAUCGUUCUGCCUUAAAAGAAAAAAGAAUCGCAAAUAUAUAAAUGGCCGGAUGGAUUACAUCUCUCACAACUUAAUUAGGCUAAUUAAUAACAAAGUGAGCCAAAAUCUUAAUAAUAUUACAAACCUCCACUGGAAAAAGGAAAUGGAGCAAUUAAAUGAACCAAAAGAACAAAUAUAUAUAUAUAUAUAUAUAUAUCGUGCCAACCUGAAUCUUUUUACAGAAAUAAGAGAUGAAAUCAAAUGGUGAAUAUAUUUAAGGAAGAAAACCAACGAAAUUAACUGGAGCUGUGGAAUAGUGAGAUGAAUAACUUGUUAGCUGUGGAGAGAAGUUGUGCUGAAGAGCUACCUCGACUGCCUGAGCGAUAACGAGGACGAGCUCGAACGCCAGUUUCAGUAGAUCCAUGCACAUUUCCAGUCUCUGAAUCACCAUUGCUAUGUUGCUGUAUUGCUAGGUAAAGACUUUCUCUUUCUUUAUCUUCUUUUUUGCUCUUUCUGUUCUCCCCUUAUAUCACUUUCCUAUCCAUAUUCUUGACAGACCUACUUGUAUUUAUAUC
This 2356-nucleotide long non-coding RNA is filed under the name Malus domestica (apple). RNAcentral's name for it is "long non-coding RNA (MDOM_LNC009190)". Lineage: Eukaryota; Viridiplantae; Streptophyta; Magnoliopsida; Rosales; Rosaceae. The record is from RNAcentral.